This 162-nucleotide ribosomal RNA is filed under the name uncultured bacterium. RNAcentral's name for it is "partial 16S rRNA". It matches the Rfam family "Bacterial small subunit ribosomal RNA", at positions 358 to 511 of the family's 1533-position model. The record is from RNAcentral.
GGAAUCUUCGGCAAUGGACGAAAGUCUAACCGAGCAACGCCGCGUGAGUGAAGAAGGUUUUCGGAUCGUAAAACUCUGUUGGUAGAGAAGAACGUUGGUGAGAGUGGAAAGCUCAUCAAGUGACGGUAACUACCCAGAAAGGGACGGCUAACUACGUGCCAG